Molecule: ribosomal RNA, 253 nt
Filed under: uncultured bacterium
Lineage: Bacteria
Description: partial 16S ribosomal RNA
Rfam family: Bacterial small subunit ribosomal RNA
Source: RNAcentral
AACGUAGGAGACAAACGUUAUCCGGAGUUACUGGGCGUAAAGGGCGUGCAGGCGGUCUGUUAAGUCUGGCGUGAAAGCUCCCGGCUAAACCGGGAGAGGUCGUUGGAGACUGACAGACUGGAGGACGGUAGAGGCGAGUGGAAUUCCGGGUGUAGUGGUGAAAUGCGUAGAGAUCCGGAGGAACACCAGUGGCGAAGGCGACUCGCUGGGCCGUACCUGACGCUGAGACGCGACAGCAUGGGGAGCGAACGGG